Long non-coding RNA from Pelmatolapia mariae (spotted tilapia), 431 nucleotides. RefSeq lists it as uncharacterized. NCBI's taxonomy places the organism in Eukaryota, Metazoa, Chordata, Actinopteri, Cichliformes, Cichlidae. The transcript has 3 exons. The record is from RefSeq and is a predicted model, not a curated record.
AAACUGAUGGAGCCGUUUUUGGAUGAUGGGAGAAAUGUCACAACGGACAAUUUCUUUACUUCACUGUCACUGUCGCACAGACUGCUGCAGCGCAAAACAACGUUACUGGGCACGGUGAAUAAAGUCCGGCGUGAACUUCCUCAACUUGCAAAAGAUACUGCAAAGCGAGAGUUCCAUGCACCAAGACGUGACGAUCGGUGACGGCAGAAAGAGGAAACCCAACACGAUAACAGACUAUAACCACAUGAAGUGUGGUGUAGACGUGUUGGACCAAAUGGCAUGGAUGUAUUCCGUAAGAUCAGCAACACGCAGGUGGCCAGUAGCGGUUUUCUACAAUAUGCUGGACCUGGCGGCAGUGAAUGCCUACAUUUUGUACAAGGCAUGUACAGGGUGGACAGGCAAAAGAAGAUUGUUUCUGAGUCUUCUAGCUC